GCAACCUGCCGGGCAGACGGGGAUAACGGGGGGAAACCGCAGCUAAGGCCGGAUAGGGCGCACGCACCGCCUGGUGCGUGCGGGAAAGGCGGCUACGGCCGCGCUGCCCGAGGGGCCCGCGGUGCAUUAGCCAGUUGGCGGGGCAGAGGCCCACCAAAGCAACGAUGCAUAGCCGACCUGAGAGGGUGAUCGGCCACAUUGGGACUGAGACGCGGCCCAAACUCCUACGGGAGGCAGCAGUAGGGAAUCUUCCACAAUGGACGAGAGUCUGAUGGAGCAACGCCGCGUGAGCGAAGAAGGUUUUCGGAUCGUAAAGCUCUGUUGCCGGAGAAGAACGGGCGGGAGAGGGAAUGCUCCCGUCGUGACGGUAUCCGGCGAGCAAGUCACGGCUAACUACGUGCCAGCAGCCGCGGUAAUACGUAGGUGGCGAGCGUUGUCCGGAAUUAUUGGGCGUAAAGGGCACGCAGGCGGCUGUUUAAGUCCGGUGUGAAAGGUUGCGGCUUAACCGCAAACGGGCACCGGAAACUGAAGAGCUUGAGGGCAGAAGAGGGGAGCAGAAUUCCACGUGUAGCGGUGAAAUGCGUAGAGAUGUGGAAGAAUACCGAUGGCGAAAGCGGCUCUCUGGUCUGCACCUGACGCUGAGGUGCGAAAGCGUGGGGAGCGAACAGGAUUAGAUACCCUGGUAGUCCACGCCGUAAACGAUGAAUGCUAGGUGUUAGGGGGGUCCAACCCCUUAGUGCUGAAGGCAACCCAUUAAGCAUUCCGCCUGGGGAAUACGACCGCAAGGUUGAAACUCAA
This 798-nucleotide ribosomal RNA is filed under the name uncultured bacterium. RNAcentral's name for it is "bacterial SSU rRNA". It matches the Rfam family "Bacterial small subunit ribosomal RNA", at positions 121 to 904 of the family's 1533-position model. The record is from RNAcentral.